CCUACGGGAGGCAGCAGUGAGGAAUAUUGGUCAAUGGCCGCAGGGCUGAACCAGCCAAGUCGCGUGAGGGAUGACGGUCCUAUGGAUUGUAAACCUCUUUUGUCAGGGAGCAAAGGGCGCCACGUGUGGCGCUUUGCGAGUACCUGACGAACAAGCAUCGGCUAACUCCGUGCCAGCAGCCGCGGUAAUACGGAGGAUGCGAGCGUUAUCCGGAUUUAUUGGGUUUAAAGGGUGCGCAGGCGGAAUGUCAAGUCAGCGGUAAAAUUUCGGGGCUCAACCCCGUCGUGCCGUUGAAACUGGCGUUCUUGAGUGAGCGAGAAGUAUGCGGAAUGCGUGGUGUAGCGGUGAAAUGCAUAGAUAUCACGCAGAACUCCGAUUGCGAAGGCAGCAUACCGGCGCUCAACUGACGCUCAUGCACGAAAGCGUGGGUAUCGAACAGGAUUAGAUACCCUAGUAGUC
RNAcentral lists this ribosomal RNA (459 nucleotides) under uncultured bacterium. Its description in RNAcentral is "partial 16S ribosomal RNA". It matches the Rfam family "Bacterial small subunit ribosomal RNA", at positions 338 to 795 of the family's 1533-position model. The record is from RNAcentral.